UCUAAAUAGUUUAAAAAGAACAAAGCUUUGAAGCAGCUUAAGUAAUGAUAAAUUUUUGGAUAG
RNAcentral lists this transfer RNA (63 nucleotides) under Anoeconeossa unicornuta. Its description in RNAcentral is "tRNA-Phe". The record is from RNAcentral. Lineage: Eukaryota; Metazoa; Arthropoda; Insecta; Hemiptera; Aphalaridae.